Long non-coding RNA from Gallus gallus (chicken), 2554 nucleotides. NCBI's taxonomy places the organism in Eukaryota, Metazoa, Chordata, Aves, Galliformes, Phasianidae. The record is from Ensembl.
GACCCAUAGAGACCCAUAGAGACCCAUAGAGACCCCACAGGGAUCCAUAGAGACCCCAUAGAGACCCAUAGGGAUCCAUAGAGACCCAUAGAGACCCCAUAGAGACCCAUAGGGAUCCAUAGAGACCCAUAGAGACCCAUAGGGAUCCAUAGAGACCCAUAGAGAUCCCAUAGAGACUCAUAGGGACCCCAUAGAAACCCAUAGAGACCCAUAGGGACACCAUAGAAACCCAUAGAGACCCAUAGGGAUCCAUAGAGACCCCACAGAGACUCAUAGAGACCCCAUAGAAACCCAUAGAGACAUAGGGACCCAUAGAGACACAUAGAGACACAUAGGGACCCAUAGAGACCCAUAGAGACUCCACAGAGACACAUAGAGACCCAUAGAAACCCAUAGAGACCCAUAGAGACCCAUAGAGAGCCCAUAGAAACCCAUAGAGACCCAUUGAGAUCCCAUAGGGAUCCAUAGAGACCCCAUAGAGACACAUAGAGACCCCAUAGAGACCCACAGAGACACACAGAGACCCCAUAGAGACCCCAUAGAGAUCCAUAGAGACCCCAUAGAGACACAUAGAGACCCAUAGGGACACAUAGAGACCCAUAGAGCCCCCAUAGAGACCCAUAGGGACCCAUAGGGACACAUAGAGACCCAAUAGAGACCCAUAGAGACCCAUAGAGCCCCCAUAGAGACCCAUAGGGACCCAUAGAGACCCAUGGAGACCCUAUAGAGACCCAAUAGAAACCCAUAGAGACCCAUAGGGACCCCAUAGAAACCCAUAGAGACCCAUAGAGAUCCCAUAGGGAUCCAUAGAGACCCCAUAGAGACACAUAGAGACCCCAUAGAGACCCACAGAGACACACAGAGACCCCAUAGAGACCCCAUAGAGAUCCAUAGAGACCCCAUAGGGACCCAUAGAGACCCAUAGAGACUCCACAGAGAUCCAUAGAGACCCAUAGAAACCUCUAGAGACCCAUAGAGACCCCACAGAAACCCAUAGAGACCCAUAGGGACACCAUAGAAACCCAUAAAGACCCAUAGGGACCCAUAGAGACCCAUAGGGAUCCAUACAGACCCCAUAGAGACUCAUAGGGACCCAUAGAGACCCCACAGAGAUCCAUAGAGACCCCAUAGAGACACAUAGAGACACAGAGAAACCCAUAGGGACACACAGAGACCCCAUAGGGACCCAUAGGAACCCAUAGAGACCCCACAGAGACCCAUAGAGACCCCAUAGAGAUCCAUAGAGACCCCAUAGAGACCCCAUAGGGAUCCAUAGGGAUCCAUAGAGACCCAUAGGGAUCCAUAGAGACCCAUAGAGAUCCCAUAGAAACCCAUAGAGACCCAUAGGGACACCAUAGAAACCCAUAGAGACCCAUAGGGACCCAUAGAGACCCACAGAGAUCUAUAUGGACCCAUACAGACCCCAUAGAGACCCACAGAGACACCAUAGAGACCUAUAGGGAUCCAUAGAGACCCAUAGUGACCCCAUAGAGACCCAAUGGAAACCCAUAGAGACCCAUAUGGACCCAUAGAGACCCAUAGAGACCCCAUAGAGACCCAUAGAGACCCAUAGAGACCCCAUAGGGACCCAUAGAGACCCAUAGAGAUCCAUAUGGACCCAUAGAGACCUCAUAGAGACCCAUAGGGACCCAUAAGGACACAUAGAGACCCCAUAGACACCAAUAGAGACCCCAUAGGGAUCCACAGAGACCCAUAGGAACCCCAUAGAGACCCAUAGGGACCCAUAGAGGCCCCAUAGAGACCCAUAGAGACCCAUAGGGACCCAUAGAUACCCAUAGAGACCCAUAGAGACCCCAUAGAGCCCCAUAGGGACCCAUAGAGACCCCAUAGAAACCCAUAGAGACCCAUAGGGACCCAUAGAAACCCAUAGAGAUCCAUAUGGACCCAUAGAGACCCCAUAGAGACCCACAGAGACACCAUAGAGACCCAUAGGGAUCCACAGAGACACCAUAGAGACCCCAUAGAGACUCAUAGAGACCCCAUAGAAACCCACGGAGACCCAUAGGGACCCAUAGAGACCCACAGAGACCCACAGAGACCCAUAGAGACCCAUAGGGACCCAUAGAGACCCACAGGGACCCAUAAGAACACAUAGAAACCCCAUAGAGACUCAUAGGGACCCAUAGAGACCCCAUAGAGACCCAGAGGGACCCAUAGAGACACAUAGGGACACAUAGAGACACCAUAGAGACCCAUAGAGACCCCAUAGGGAUCCACAGAGACCCCAUAGAAAUCUAUAUGGACGCAUAGAGACCCCAUAGAGACCCAUGGAGACACAUAGAGAUCCAUAGGGACCUCAUAGAGACCCCAUAGAGAUCCAUAGGGACCCAUAGAGACCCAUAGAGACCCAUAGAGACCCCAUAGAGACUCAUAGGGACCCAUAGAGACCCCAUAGAGACCCCAUAGAGCCCCAUAGGGACCCAUAGAGACCCAUAGAGACCCAUAGAGACCCCAUAGAGACUCAUAGGGACCCAUAGAGACCCCACAGAGACUCAUAGAGACCCCAUAGAAACCCAUAGAGACACAUAGAGAC